Molecule: long non-coding RNA, 841 nt
Filed under: Homo sapiens (human)
Lineage: Eukaryota; Metazoa; Chordata; Mammalia; Primates; Hominidae
Description: HSALNT0284795
Source: RNAcentral
AAGGAAACUAGCUCGGACCGUGCAGGUUUGUAGGUCUGUUGGCCUGUAGGUUUCGGCACAAGUUUCAGCGAGAGAAGGAGAAAACUGCCUUGGUUGGAACCUUGCAGGUCAGUAUUCAUCACAAGAGAGCUACAAGAGCCUGGAAGAAGCUGAAGACUGCUACCCUCCAUCCUUACUCACCCUGGACCUGAGAGACCUCUUCAAUCAGAAAUGGAAACAGAGAGAUUCUCCUGGAAACCCCUGCCCCAUAAACGGCCCUCUCGAACACAAUGGGACGGAAUCCACCCACAACGCGCUUGGUUUGCAGAUGUCAAAGAAUCUGCAGAGGGUGCUACUGAAGAUCCAGCCUUAGCCAAUCACCACCUCAUUGGGUGAAAGUUCCAGGGCUCAAUCCAGGACCACACUCUUAUUGGCCAGGCAGGGGCUCCCACAGAGCUUUGAGUAACUUCUUGGUUGUGCAGUCUGCAGGCAAUGUUGGCAUUGUAAAUUCCUCCCUUGCAGCCUCCUUCAUGUGGUGAGGGGAUCACUUCAGCUGCCUGCUGUGGACAAAGAACAUCAAAUUACAGCAUCACGAGUGCUAUUGUUGCCUGUGGUGGUCUCCCUGUCCAAGCGGGACCGCUUUGCAGAGACCAGAGGCAUAUCGCGGCUUGAGCUGAAAAUGCAUUUGUUGCAGCUUAGGUUGAAUUAUUUUUCGUUUGCUCUUUCUUCUACACGCGCCUGAUGGAUAGUGAACCUAUUCAUCAAAAAAGUGCACUGCUCUUCUGUCUAUUGUACCGACUUAACCUCUUCCACCCAAGUCCGCAUCUGUGUGUAUCAUCAAUAAAGUUGUGUGCUUUGAUUG